This 468-nucleotide ribosomal RNA is filed under the name uncultured bacterium. RNAcentral's name for it is "partial 16S ribosomal RNA". It matches the Rfam family "Bacterial small subunit ribosomal RNA", at positions 28 to 507 of the family's 1533-position model. The record is from RNAcentral.
GAUGAACGCUGGCGGCGUGCUUAACACAUGCAAGUCGAACGGGAAGGCCCAAGCUUGCUUGGGUACUCGAGUGGCGAACGGGUGAGUAACACGUGGGUGAUCUGCCCUGCACUUCGGGAUAAGCCUGGGAAACUGGGUCUAAUACCGGAUAGGACGAUGGUUUGGAUGCCAUUGUGGAAAGUUUUUUCGUUGUGGGAUGAGCUCGCGGCCUAUCAGCUUGUUGGUGGGGUAAUGGCCUACCAAGGCGUCGACGGGUAGCCGGCCUGAGAGGGUGUACGGCCACAUUGGGACUGAGAUACGGCCCAGACUCCUACGGGAGGCAGCAGUGGGGAAUAUUGCACAAUGGGCGCAAGCCUGAUGCAGCGACGCCGCGUGGGGGAUGACGGCCUUCGGGUUGUAAACUCCUUUCGCUAGGGACGAAGCGUUUUUGUGACGGUACCUGGAGAAGAAGCACCGGCUAACUACGUG